Molecule: ribosomal RNA, 497 nt
Filed under: uncultured bacterium
Lineage: Bacteria
Description: partial 16S ribosomal RNA
Rfam family: Bacterial small subunit ribosomal RNA
Source: RNAcentral
GACGAACGCUGGCGGCGUGCCUAAUACAUGCAAGUUGAGCGCUGAAGGUUGGUACUUGUACCGACUGGAUGAGCAGCGAACGGGUGAGUAACGCGUGGGGAAUCUGCCUUUGAGCGGGGGACAACAUUUGGAAACGAAUGCUAAUACCGCAUAAAAACUUUAAACACAAGUUUUAAGUUUAAAAGAUGCAAUUGCAUCACUCAAAGAUGAUCCCGCGUUGUAUUAGCUAGUUGGUGAGGUAAAGGCUCACCAAGGCGAUGAUACAUAGCCGACCUGAGAGGGUGAUCGGCCACAUUGGGACUGAGACACGGCCCAAACUCCUACGGGAGGCAGCAGUAGGGAAUCUUCGGCAAUGGACGAAAGUCUGACCGAGCAACGCCGCGUGAGUGAAGAAGGUUUUCGGAUCGUAAAACUCUGUUGGUAGAGAAGAACGUUGGUGAGAGUGGAAAGCUCAUCAAGUGACGGUAACUACCCAGAAAGGGACGGCUAACUACGUG